This 72-nucleotide transfer RNA is filed under the name Ornithorhynchus anatinus (platypus). It matches the Rfam family "tRNA". From Rfam's summary of the family: Transfer RNA (tRNA) molecules are approximately 80 nucleotides in length. The record is from Rfam by way of RNAcentral. Lineage: Eukaryota; Metazoa; Chordata; Mammalia; Monotremata; Ornithorhynchidae.
AGCAGUGUGGCUUAUUAGAAAAAGCACAGGCUUUGGAGUCAGAGGAUGUGGGUUCUAAUCCCACUUCUGCCA